AGUGAACGCUGGCGGUAUGCCUAACACAUGCAAGUCGAGCGGCAGCACAGUAAGCUCUCUCCCUUGCUGUUGGCGGCUGACGGACGGGUAAGACGUACAUCGGAAUCUUCUUUUUCUGGGGUGAUAACGUGAGACCACUUACGCUACUACCGCAUAUGUCCUACGGCUUAAAGCAGAAGAUCUUCACACCUUUCCCGUUUCAUUGAGCCGAUGUCGCAUUAGCUAGUUGGCGUGGUAAGGGCCCACCAAGGCAACGAUCCGUAGCCGACCUGAGAGGAUGAUCAGCCACACUGGAACUGAGACACGGUCCAGACUCCUACGGGAGGCAGCAGUGGGGAAUCUUCGGCAAUGGGCGAAAGCCUGACCGAGCCAUGCCGCGUGGGUGAAGAAGGCCUUCGGGUUGUAAAGCCCUGUUAUUGGGGAAGAAAAGCUGCAGAAUAAACCGCCGAUGUCCUGACGGUACCUAAAGAAAAAGCACCGGCUAACUUCGUG
This 492-nucleotide ribosomal RNA is filed under the name uncultured bacterium. Its description in RNAcentral is "partial 16S ribosomal RNA". It matches the Rfam family "Bacterial small subunit ribosomal RNA", at positions 29 to 507 of the family's 1533-position model. The record is from RNAcentral.